CCCUCCGCUUCGCCACCGUCGUCCCUUCUUGGUCCCCCCCCUCCUGGGCCGAGCGGGGGUGGGGGGGGCCGUGGCGGCCGCCGUCGCCGUGGUGGGGGACGUGGUGGGGGGCGCGGUGGGGGCACACCGGCGGGCACACCGACGCCUCCACGGGGUUCUCCCUGGCCGUCCUUUACCCACCCAUGGUCAGGGCGCAUCUCUAUGUGGCCUUUCCAGGCCACCGGCGAGCCUCGUCCACCGGCCGCCAUGCUCGCUGGCGCUGUCCCAGCUGCUCAGUUCGCGUCGCCGUGGGCUCCUCCUCAGUUUGCGUCGCCGUGGGCUCCUCCUCCCGGGGCCUCGCCUGGGCCUGUCGGAUGGGACCCGACUGCCUUGGCACGCUCCUUCGGCACCAUGGCCCUGACUCCUCCAGUCGGUCAGGACUGGAUCGCAGACUCGGGUGCCACUUUCCAUACUACACCCGACCCUGGAUGUGGCUACCCGGCGACCUCUUCUCCGCUGUGACAGCACCGGGCCCCUUUACUCCCUCCGAUUUCCUGCGUCCACUUCUUCCGCUUCGCCCUCCGCUUCUUCAGCCGCUUUUGCUACCACAGCUUCUUCCACUACAUGGCACCGGCGUCUUGGUCAUCCUGGCCGUGCUGUCCUGACACAGCUUAGUCAUAAUUCCGAUAUACCACGUACUCGGGCUCCUGAUGAGCACCUGUGUCAGGCGUGCCAACUGGGCCGUCAUGUUCGACUUCCUUUUCCUACCUCUUCUUCACAUGCGACCCAUGUAUUCGACCUUGUACAUUGCGAUCUAUGGACAUCUCCUGUUCUAAGCA
Long non-coding RNA from Setaria italica (foxtail millet), 818 nucleotides. RefSeq lists it as uncharacterized. The record is from RefSeq and is a predicted model, not a curated record. Lineage: Eukaryota; Viridiplantae; Streptophyta; Magnoliopsida; Poales; Poaceae. The transcript has 2 exons.